RNAcentral lists this long non-coding RNA (277 nucleotides) under Homo sapiens (human). RNAcentral's name for it is "long non-coding RNA NONHSAT123866.2". Lineage: Eukaryota; Metazoa; Chordata; Mammalia; Primates; Hominidae. The record is from RNAcentral.
UAAUCUUUCAACGCUUUUAGGCUCUGGAAUCCCCGAAAUGAAGACAAUACUUCGUGGGGUUGUCCUGAAGGAAUACCUCACAAUGAAAGCCUUUGUGGCCAAGGUUGUCGCCCUGACUGCGGGCCUGGGCAGUGGCAUCCCCGUGGGGAAAGAGAGUGCUAUUUAGCAUCGAGGUCACCUCCACCUACUUUGCUGUUCGGAACUACUGGAGAGGAUUCUUUGCAGCCACGUUCAGCGCCUUUGUGUUUCGAGUGCUGGCAGUGUGGAACAAGGAUGC